Long non-coding RNA from Equus caballus (horse), 2346 nucleotides. NCBI's taxonomy places the organism in Eukaryota, Metazoa, Chordata, Mammalia, Perissodactyla, Equidae. The record is from Ensembl.
GCCCAAGUAUCAACAAAGUAAAACCUCUUCUGGCCAACAGCCAUCAAGGAACAGAGGUCUGCCAAUAACCAUAUUAGCCCUCAGCUAACUACUGCCAGUCCUCCUCUUUUUGCUGAGGAAGCCUGGCUCUGAGCUACCUUCCGUGCCCAUCUUCCUCUAGUUUAUACGUGGGACGCCUACCACAGCAUGGCAUGCCAAGCAGUGCCAUGUCCGCACCCGGGAUCUGAACCAGCGAACCCGGGGCUGCAGAGAAGCGGAACGUGCGAACUUAACCGCUGCGUCACCGGGCCGGCCCCUGAAUACAUUCUUUCUUGCUCCAGAGUUAUAUGCCCUGAGCUAACAUCUGCCGCCAAUUCUCCUCCUUUUGCUGAGGAAGACUGCCCUGAGCUAACAUCGUGCCCAUCUUCUUCUACUUCAUAUGUGGGAUGCCUAUCAUAGCAUGGCUUGACAAGCAGUACAUACGUCCACACCCAGGAUCCAAACCUGUGAACCCUGGGCCGCAGAGGGCGGAAGAUGUCAAUCAUAGGAGUUGACAUGUGGCCAACUGUGGCAUCCUAGCCCAGCUUAACAGCUAAAGAAGUCCUGAAGAAGAAAAUGCAUCUCACAAUAAGAUGAAACUAAAGAUGAAAGAGAGUGAUUUUUCUAACCCCUGUUUGAGCGAAGACUCCCCCACAACCUAAAAGAUCAAUCAUAUGGAAAACAGAAAGUUUUUCAGCACAAGGAUGACUUCUCAAUAGAGAAUGAAGAAAAAGUGCAGGAGAAGGAGACAUGUCCACCGUGCGAUGAAUGGAUUCUCAAGAAAAAAUAUAAAGUGCCUAGAAGAUAUUGCGGGUCCCCUUGCAGAACACUGCAAUAAAGUAAAUAUUGCAAUAAAGUGAUAAGGAAUAUAACUGAAGAGCUACCACAGAAAUGAAAAGAUUAUGAGGAAGUUGAAAAUUGCCUUGAACGCACUCAUAUAGUCUUGGUGGUUUGGACUGCUAGAGAGAUGAAAGGAAGCAUCAUGAACCUAGGAGAAGGUUCUAUUUAAAGAUAGCAGCCUGGAUGUGCAGCUGAUCCACUUCUACAUUUGAGAGAAGAUCUGAACAGCAAGAAUUAAAUGAUGGACCAUGUUUUCAAAGAUUUACAUCUGGAUUGUGAAAGGCAUUGAACCAAAUCCAGGGCUCAAAGCCAGAGUCUAGAUUUAAGAAAAUUUUCCUUGUCAAAGCAAGAGGGGUGGGCUAGCUUUUCCACGUGGGCGGGUGCGUUAAUUUAAUUUUAAAAGCGUUCUCAGUACUCUACCCCUCCCUCAGAGGCUCUGUGAAGCUCUCCCCUUCAAGUGGUGUAAUCUAUUUUGCCUGUCAGGCUGACCUUGUGACUUAUUUUGGCCGAUAGAAUGCGGUGAAAAUAAUGAUGUGCCAGACCCCACUAGACUUCAGUGGCCCCGUGUGCUUCCAUUGUCUCUCUCGGAACUCUGCGCCUGCCAUGUGAACAAACCCAGCUCAGCAGAUGGACCGGAAGAUCAUGUGGAAGAGGUCCCAGCUAUCCUUGCUGAGGCCAUCCUCAACCUGCCGGCAACCAGCUGAUUCUGAACCAUGUGAGAGAAUCCAGCCACGAUCUGCAGAACCAACUCUUCCCUACUGACAGCUGACCACAGGAAUGCGUGCCUGAGCCCAGCUGAGCCCAGAAGAACUGUCCUGCUGACCUAGAGACCCAUGAGCAAAGAUACACGCUUUUGACAUUAACUCACUGAAAUGUAGUUGGUUUGUUCCACAGCAGUAGCUAAACACACCGAAAGUUUUCCAAAGUAUGAAAAGUAUAUGAAGAGCCAGUGCAAAAUCAUUCCUGGGAAUCAGGCAGACAAGAGCUCAGUUCUGUGUCAAGGAUGCAUCUCUUAAGGGGAACCAAGGGUGUCUGCUAUCAUCCUGGUGGUUAUGUACUGAAAGAAAAAAGGACAAGUUAAGGGCUGGCCCAGUGGUGCAGCGGUUAAGUUCCCACAUUCCGCUUUGGCGACCCAGGGUUUGCAGGUUCGGAUCCUGGGCUUGGACCUACGCACCUCUGUCAAGCUGUGCUGUGGCAGGCGUCCCACAGAUAAAGUAGAGGAAUGGAUGUUAGCUCAGGGCCAGUCUUCCUCAGCAAAAGAGGAGGACUGGCAGCAGGUGUUAGCUCAGGGGUAAUCUUCCUCAAAAGAAACACGAAAACCCAAGUUAAAAGUGUAAGGGUAAACUGAUUUAGGGAUCAGAGUCCUGUAAGGCAUAAUUCUUUGUAGGAAUGGGCCAUAAUUCAGCAUAAGGAAAGUAAAGAAAAAGAGUUGCCUUCUCUUUUAGCAUUAAAAAGAAAUUGCAUCUCAAUUUGCUCAUUUUAUCAAUA